This 467-nucleotide ribosomal RNA is filed under the name uncultured bacterium. RNAcentral's name for it is "partial 16S ribosomal RNA". It matches the Rfam family "Bacterial small subunit ribosomal RNA", at positions 28 to 506 of the family's 1533-position model. The record is from RNAcentral.
GACGAACGCUGGCGGCGUGCUUAACACAUGCAAGUCGAACGGAAAGGCCCUGCUUUUGUGGGGUGCUCGAGUGGCGAACGGGUGAGUAACACGUGAGUAACCUGCCCUUGACUUUGGGAUAACUUCAGGAAACUGGGGCUAAUACCGGAUAGGAGCUCCUGCUGCAUGGUGGGGGGUGGAACGUUUCGGCGGUUGGGGAUGGACUCGCGGCUUAUCAGCUUGUUGGUGGGGUAGUGGCUUACCAAGGCUUUGACGGGUAGCCGGCCUGAGAGGGUGACCGGCCACAUUGGGACUGGGAUACGGCCCAGACGCCAACGGGAGGCAGCAGUGGGGAAUAUUGCACAAUGGGCGGAAGCCGGAUGCAGCAACGCCGCGUGCGGGAUGACGGCCUUCGGGUUGUAAACCGCUUUCGCCUGUGACGAAGCGUGAGUGACGGUAAUGGGUAAAGAAGCACGGGCUAACUACGU